GGCACGGUAGCUUAGUGGUUAGCACAUUUGCCUCGCACCUCCUGGGGUUGGGGGUUCGAUUCCCACCUCCGCCC
Molecule: non-coding RNA, 74 nt
Organism: Ameiurus melas (black bullhead)
Lineage: Eukaryota; Metazoa; Chordata; Actinopteri; Siluriformes; Ictaluridae
Source: the annotation of a GenBank genome assembly